This 492-nucleotide ribosomal RNA is filed under the name uncultured bacterium. RNAcentral's name for it is "partial 16S ribosomal RNA". It matches the Rfam family "Bacterial small subunit ribosomal RNA", at positions 29 to 507 of the family's 1533-position model. The record is from RNAcentral.
AGUGAACGCUGGCGGUAGGCCUAACACAUGCAAGUCGAACGGCAGCACAGUAAGAGCUUGCUCUUACGGGUGGCGAGUGGCGGACGGGUGAGGAAUACAUCGGAAUCUACUUUUUCGUGGGGGAUAACGUAGGGAAACUUACGCUAAUACCGCAUACGACCUACGGGUGAAAGCAGGGGAUCUUCGGACCUUGCGCGAUUGAAUGAGCCGAUGUCGGAUUAGCUAGUUGGCGGGGUAAAGGCCCACCAAGGCGACGAUCCGUAGCUGGUCUGAGAGGAUGAUCAGCCACACUGGAACUGAGACACGGUCCAGACUCCUACAGGAGGCAGCAGUGGGGAAUAUUGGACAAUGGGCGCAAGCCUGAUCCAGCCAUACCGCGUGGGUGAAGAAGGCCUUCGGGUUGUAAAGCCCUUUUGUUGGGAAAGAAAAGCAGCAGGUUAAUACCCCGCUGCUCUGACGGUACCCAAAGAAUAAGCACCGGCUAACUUCGUG